RNAcentral lists this transfer RNA (70 nucleotides) under Geotrypetes seraphini (Gabon caecilian). Its description in RNAcentral is "tRNA-Ala". It matches the Rfam family "tRNA". From Rfam's summary of the family: Transfer RNA (tRNA) molecules are approximately 80 nucleotides in length. Their secondary structure includes four short double-helical elements and three loops (D, anti-codon, and T loops). Lineage: Eukaryota; Metazoa; Chordata; Amphibia; Gymnophiona; Dermophiidae. The record is from RNAcentral.
AAGGCUUUAGCUUAAUUAAAGUACUUGAAUUGCAAUCAAGAUAUAUGGGGUAAAGUUCUCGUAAGUCUUA